Molecule: long non-coding RNA, 277 nt
Organism: Ochotona curzoniae (black-lipped pika)
Lineage: Eukaryota; Metazoa; Chordata; Mammalia; Lagomorpha; Ochotonidae
Exons: 3
Source: RefSeq, a predicted model, not a curated record
UUCUGGGCCCUUUAAAGAUGAUGGACCAAGUGGAUGAAAGCAGCUUGAGGCCCUAAAUUCCUGCAGAGAGUAGAGUACCACUCAUAGAACUGUGAUGAAGAUGAGCAAGAGGAAGAGAGCUGGCUGUGCACCGUGUACUUAUUUAAGAGCCAUCUCCAGUUGACAUGAGCCACACUUCAAGUGAUCCAGAGUUACCUGAGUUGGAGACGCUAGACCAGCUGAGAAGUUUUCCAAGCCUGGAGCUAGCAGCUGGGAACCUGAAACUCAAUCAAUGCAG